This 431-nucleotide long non-coding RNA is filed under the name Elaeis guineensis (African oil palm). RNAcentral describes it as "long non-coding RNA (EGUI_LNC062668)". The record is from RNAcentral. Lineage: Eukaryota; Viridiplantae; Streptophyta; Magnoliopsida; Arecales; Arecaceae.
UCAUGAAUAUCACUAGUUCGACUAUUAUUUCUAUAGGAACAAAGUUUAAUUUUUAAAAUUUAAAUUAAGUUUUCUCUAAAGUUGGUUUCAUUAGACUAUAUGAGAUAUGAUAUGAUGGAUAAGUUAGAGGAUAGGUCUGUGAGAGCUCAUUUAUGGGGUAUCCCAAAAGGAUUUGGGAUGUCACUUUCUCUUUCCAGUGGUUCACAAUGUGAUUAUGAGCAAUCCUACUGUUUUGUUGGAAAUAAUGGGAGGAUGAACUCAAAGAAAAAAUUUUAAAAGAACAAUGAGUCACAGGACUUGUACAACCUAUUUAAGAUGAGCCUAUAAAUAUAGUACCUUCUCCACUUUGUAGAUCUUGUAGGAUAUCUCCCAUCCUUUAGAAAGGUACUUGGUAUUCUUACAAAGGAUUCAGAAAAAGUAUUUCUUGAGGA